This 300-nucleotide ribosomal RNA is filed under the name uncultured Pyrobaculum sp. RNAcentral's name for it is "bacterial SSU rRNA". It matches the Rfam family "Bacterial small subunit ribosomal RNA", at positions 496 to 795 of the family's 1533-position model. The record is from RNAcentral. Lineage: Archaea; Thermoproteati; Thermoproteota; Thermoprotei; Thermoproteales; Thermoproteaceae.
GUGAUCGCCGUGAUGGGUGUUGUGUGAGUACGGGGGGGGCUAGGGUUGGCUGGAAUCACUGGGCGUAGAGGGCGUGGGGGCGUGCGGUUAAGUCUGUGGGGAAAUCCCCGCGCUCAACGAGGGAACGGCGUCGGAGACUGGCAGGAUGGAGUACCGGAGAGGAAGGUGGAAUUCUCGGUGUAGCGGUGAAAUGCGUAGAUAUCGGGAGGAACACCGGUGGCGAAGGCGGCCUUCUGGACGGAUACUGACGCUGAGACGCGAAAGCGUGGGGAGCAAACAGGAUUAGAUACCCUAGUAGUC